GCGCCUGUAGCUCAACUGGAUAGAGCACCUGAUUACGGAUCAGGAGGUUAGGGGUUCGAAUCCUCUCAGGCGUA
This 74-nucleotide transfer RNA is filed under the name Fodinibius sediminis. It matches the Rfam family "tRNA". Rfam says of the family: Transfer RNA (tRNA) molecules are approximately 80 nucleotides in length. Their secondary structure includes four short double-helical elements and three loops (D, anti-codon, and T loops). RNAcentral also lists the same sequence under 6 other names. The record is from Rfam by way of RNAcentral. Lineage: Bacteria; Pseudomonadati; Balneolota; Balneolia; Balneolales; Balneolaceae.